RNAcentral lists this ribosomal RNA (117 nucleotides) under uncultured bacterium. RNAcentral's name for it is "partial 16S ribosomal RNA". It matches the Rfam family "Bacterial small subunit ribosomal RNA", at positions 238 to 353 of the family's 1533-position model. The record is from RNAcentral.
GGAUUAGCUAGUGGUGGGGUAACGGCCUACCAAGGCGACGAUCCAUAGCCGGCCUGAGAGGGUGAACGACCACAUUGGGACUGAGACACGGCCCAGACUCCUACGGGAGGCAGCAUG